Molecule: ribosomal RNA, 468 nt
Filed under: uncultured bacterium
Lineage: Bacteria
Description: partial 16S ribosomal RNA
Rfam family: Bacterial small subunit ribosomal RNA
Source: RNAcentral
GACGAACGCUGGCGGCGUGCUUAACACAUGCAAGUCGAACGGAAAGGCCCUGCUUUUGUGGGCUGCUCGAGUGGCGAACGGGUGAGUAACACGUGAGUAACCUGCCCUUGACUUUGGGAUAACUUCAGGAACCUGGGGCUAAUCCCGGAUAGUAGCUCCUGCUGCAUGGUGGGGGUUGGAAAGUUUCGGCGGUUGGGGAUGGACUCGCGGCUUAUCAGCUUGUUGGUGGGGUAGUGGCUUACCAAGGCUUUGACGGGUAGCCGGCCUGAGAGGGUGACCGGCCACAUUGGGACGGAGAUACGGCCCAGACUCCUACGGGAGGCAGCAGUGGGGAAUAGUGCACAAUGGGCGGAAGCCUGAUGCAGCAACGCCGCGUGCGGGAUGACGGCCUUCGGGUUGUAAACCGCUUUCGCCUGUGACGAAGCGUGAGUGACGGUAAUGGGUAAAGAAGCACCGGCUAACUACGUG